GAAAUGCGAUACGUAAUGCGAAUUGCAGAAUCCAGUGAGUCAUCGAACCUUUGAACGCACCUUGCGCUUCCGGGCAACCGGGAGCAUGUCUGCUGGAGUGCCUGUUCUCAACCACAACUUCAAAUCCUUUAGGGGGUUUUGCAAGUGUGACGGCGCUGUAUUUCUAUUAAUAGGGGUACAGUGCUAGUUCAGACGAAAGGCACACGACUGACUUUUUGUGAAAUUUUUGUUUCACAUUCUCAGUUGUGAGUGUCGUGCAAGAGUUCAUUCUCUAGCUUUUAACUUCACUCAACCAAAAAAACAACUGGGAACGCCAAACCCGACUUCGAAUCGGGCCUCCAGUCAGACAAGAAGACCCGCUGAAUUUAA
RNAcentral lists this unclassified non-coding RNA (369 nucleotides) under uncultured Physalospora. RNAcentral describes it as "sequence contains ITS1". The stretch from base 1 to 103 matches the Rfam family "5.8S ribosomal RNA", at positions 50 to 154 of the family's 154-position model. Lineage: Eukaryota; Fungi; Ascomycota; Sordariomycetes; Amphisphaeriales; Hyponectriaceae. The record is from RNAcentral.